UGAAACCUGAUAUGACUUAGUGGCGGACGGGUGAGUAACGCGUAGGCAACCUGCCCCUGACAGAGGGAUAGCCAUUGGAAACGAUGAUUAAAACCUCAUGACACCGUAGAAGCACAUGCUUCAUCGGUCAAAGAUUUAUCGGUCAGGGAUGGGCCUGCGUCUGAUUAACUAGUUGGUGAGGUAACGGCUCACCAAGGUGACGAUCAGUAACCGACCUGAGAGGGUGAUCGGCCACAUUGGAACUGAGAUACGGCCCAGACUCC
Molecule: ribosomal RNA, 263 nt
Filed under: uncultured Mogibacterium sp.
Lineage: Bacteria; Bacillati; Bacillota; Clostridia; Peptostreptococcales; Anaerovoracaceae
Description: partial 16S ribosomal RNA
Rfam family: Bacterial small subunit ribosomal RNA
Source: RNAcentral